UACGAAGGGUGCAAGCGUUGUUCGGAUUUACUGGGCGUAAAGCGUCCGUAGGUGGUUUGUUAAGUCAGGGGUGAAAUCCCGGGGCCCAACCCCGGAACUGCCUUUGAUACUGGCAAGCUGGAGCGUGAUAGAGGAAGAUGGAAUAUCUGGUGUAGGGGUGAAAUCCGUAGAUAUCAGAUGGAACACCAAUGGCGAAGGCGGCCUGCUGGACUGAAACUGACGUUGAGGCUCGAAAGCGUGGGGAGCAAACAGG
Molecule: ribosomal RNA, 253 nt
Filed under: uncultured Alphaproteobacteria bacterium
Lineage: Bacteria; Pseudomonadati; Pseudomonadota; Alphaproteobacteria
Description: partial 16S ribosomal RNA
Rfam family: Bacterial small subunit ribosomal RNA
Source: RNAcentral